This 370-nucleotide long non-coding RNA is filed under the name Anser brachyrhynchus (Pink-footed goose). RNAcentral describes it as "lncRNA (ENSABRG00000011909.1)". Lineage: Eukaryota; Metazoa; Chordata; Aves; Anseriformes; Anatidae. The record is from RNAcentral.
GCAGCUUUAGAAAUUGCGCACCAGCCCUGCGAGGAGCAAUGUGUGGGCUCUCUCAAACGUGAGGAGGCUGAUAAAGAGGCGAUGAUAUUAAAAAGACAGAGAGGGAACAACAAAGAAGCAAGCCAAACCCGAGCAACUCAAACCCAAACCGCGGCGGCCUCUCGGUAUCGCUCAGAAAUGCAGCAGGAGAUUUUGUACUUACAGCCAGCGCUAAAGUUCACUUUAAACCGAGGAAACAGGAUACUCUUUUGCUUCCAAUGAUACAAGCAAUCUCCAGAAACAGCACUGCACUAACCUAGUCCCGAGACCAGUUACUUCUUUGGAAAGACUGUAAUAGGAGUGACAUGGAAAAUUAAAAAAAAUACUGUGA